ACAAAGAGAGGCUCUGUCUCAAAAAACAAACAAACAAAUUUGCCAUAGAAGCCUGGAAAGAACAUUCCAGGGUCAUUUUAAUACAUUUCCAGAUUUCCCACACUAAAACUCUCCAGAAGACAAAUACUGGAAUCUCAAAAAAAAAAAAAAAAAAAAA
Sapajus apella (tufted capuchin) is the source of this 157-nucleotide long non-coding RNA. RefSeq lists it as uncharacterized. NCBI's taxonomy places the organism in Eukaryota, Metazoa, Chordata, Mammalia, Primates, Cebidae. The transcript is spliced from 2 exons. The record is from RefSeq and is a predicted model, not a curated record.